This 663-nucleotide ribosomal RNA is filed under the name uncultured bacterium. RNAcentral describes it as "bacterial SSU rRNA". It matches the Rfam family "Bacterial small subunit ribosomal RNA", at positions 56 to 755 of the family's 1533-position model. The record is from RNAcentral.
UGCAAGUCGUACGCGAGGGGGCAACCUCUCGAGUGGCGGACGGGUGAGUAACGCGUAGGUAUCUGUCCCUGGGUGGGGGAUAACCAUGGGAAACUGUGGCUAAUACCGCAUAUGUCCUGCGGGGCAAAGGCCCGAGAGGGUCGCCUGGGGGUGAGCCUGCGUCCGAUUAGCUUGUUGGUGGGGUAAAGGCCUACCAAGGCUGUGAUCGGUAGCUGGUCUGAGAGGAUGGUCAGCCACACUGGGACUGAGACACGGCCCAGACUCCUACGGGAGGCAGCAGUGGGGAAUAUUGGACAAUGGGCGAAAGCCUGAUCCAGCAAUGCCGCGUGGGUGAAGAAGGUCUUCGGAUUGUAAAGCCCUUUCGGCGGGGACGAUGGUGACGGUACCCGCAGAAGAAGCCCCGGCUAACUUCGUGCCAGCAGCCGCGGUAAUACGAAGGGGGCUAGCGUUGCUCGGAAUGACUGGGCGUAAAGGGCGCGUAGGCGACUCUCAUCGUCGGGCGUGAAAUUCCUGGGCUUAACCUGGGGGCUGCGUUCGAUACGUGGGGGCUUGAGUGUGGGAGAGGGUCGUGGAAUUCCCAGUGUAGAGGUGAAAUUCGUAGAUAUUGGGAAGAACACCGGUGGCGAAGGCGGCGACCUGGUCCAUGACUGACGCUGAGGCGCG